RNAcentral lists this non-coding RNA (102 nucleotides) under Planococcus glaciei. RNAcentral's name for it is "Planomicrobium glaciei Guanine sequence". It matches the Rfam family "Purine riboswitch aptamer". Rfam says of the family: Riboswitches are metabolite binding domains within certain messenger RNAs that serve as precision sensors for their corresponding targets. Allosteric rearrangement of mRNA structure is mediated by ligand binding, and this results in modulation of gene expression. A class of riboswitches that selectively recognises guanine and becomes saturated at concentrations as low as 5 nM. The record is from RNAcentral. Lineage: Bacteria; Bacillati; Bacillota; Bacilli; Caryophanales; Caryophanaceae.
ACCAUUCUAAUAAUAUUCACUCAUAUAAUCGCGGGGAUAUGGCCUGCAAGUUUCUACCGGUUUGCCUUAAACAAACUGACUAUGAGAAGCAACGAAGUAAUG